This 30-nucleotide ribosomal RNA is filed under the name Fusarium sp. SF39. Its description in RNAcentral is "partial 18S ribosomal RNA". The record is from RNAcentral. Lineage: Eukaryota; Fungi; Ascomycota; Sordariomycetes; Hypocreales; Nectriaceae. RNAcentral also lists the same sequence under 1 other name.
CCGUUGGUGAACCAGCGGAGGGAUCAUUAC